This 1373-nucleotide ribosomal RNA is filed under the name uncultured bacterium. Its description in RNAcentral is "bacterial SSU rRNA". It matches the Rfam family "Bacterial small subunit ribosomal RNA", at positions 28 to 1381 of the family's 1533-position model. The record is from RNAcentral.
GAUGAACGCUGGCGGCGUGCCUAAUACAUGCAAGUCGAGCGAACGGACGAGAAGCUUGCUUCUCUGAUGUUAGCGGCGGACGGGUGAGUAACACGUGGAUAACCUACCUAUAAGACUGGGAUAACUUCGGGAAACCGGAGCUAAUACCGGAUAAUAUUUUGAACCGCAUGGUUCAAAAGUGAAAGACGGUCUUGCUGUCACUUAUAGAUGGAUCCGCGCUGCAUUAGCUAGUUGGUAAGGUAACGGCUUACCAAGGCAACGAUGCAUAGCCGACCUGAGAGGGUGAUCGGCCACACUGGAACUGAGACACGGUCCAGACUCCUACGGGAGGCAGCAGUAGGGAAUCUUCCGCAAUGGGCGAAAGCCUGACGGAGCAACGCCGCGUGAGUGAUGAAGGUCUUCGGAUCGUAAAACUCUGUUAUUAGGGAAGAACAUAUGUGUAAGUAACUGUGCACAUCUUGACGGUACCUAAUCAGAAAGCCACGGCUAACUACGUGCCAGCAGCCGCGGUAAUACGUAGGUGGCAAGCGUUAUCCGGAAUUAUUGGGCGUAAAGCGCGCGUAGGCGGUUUUUUAAGUCUGAUGUGAAAGCCCACGACUCAACCGUGGAGGGUCAUUGGAAACUGGAAAACUUGAGUGCAGAAGAGGAAAGUGGAAUUCCAUGUGUAGCGGUGAAAUGCGCAGAGAUAUGGAGGAACACCAGUGGCGAAGGCGACUUUCUGGUCUGUAACUGACGCUGAUGUGCGAAAGCGUGGGGAUCAAACAGGAUUAGAUACCCUGGUAGUCCACGCCGCAAACGAUGAGUGCUAAGUGUUAGGGGGUUUCCGCCCCUUAGUGCUGCAGCUAACGCAUUAAGCACUCCGCCUGGGGAGUACGACCGCAAGGUUGAAACUCAAAGGAAUUGACGGGGACCCGCACAAGCGGUGGAGCAUGUGGUUUAAUUCGAAGCAACGCGAAGAACCUUACCAAAUCUUGACAUCCUUUGACAACUCUAGAGAUAGAGCCUUCCCCUUCGGGGGGGCAAAGUGACAGGUGGUGCAUGGUUGUCGUCAGCUCGUGUCGUGAGAUGUUGGGUUAAGUCCCGCAACGAGCGCAACCCUUAAGCUUAGUUGCCAUCAUUAAGUUGGGCACUCUAAGUUGACUGCCGGUGACAAACCGGAGGAAGGUGGGGAUGACGUCAAAUCAUCAUGCCCCUUAUGAUUUGGGCUACACACGUGCUACAAUGGACAAUACAAAGGGCAGCGAAACCGCGAGGUCAAGCAAAUCCCAUAAAGUUGUUCUCAGUUCGGAUUGUAGUCUGCAACUCGACUACAUGAAGCUGGAAUCGCUAGUAAUCGUAGAUCAGCAUGCUACGGUGAAUACGUUCCCGGGUCU